GAGGGUAAAGCUCAAUAGAGUGUGUGCUUAGCAUGCAUGAGGUCCUAGGUUCAAUCCCCAGUACCUCCA
Molecule: transfer RNA, 69 nt
Filed under: Camelus bactrianus (Bactrian camel)
Lineage: Eukaryota; Metazoa; Chordata; Mammalia; Artiodactyla; Camelidae
Also listed under: 2 other names
Rfam family: tRNA
About the family: Transfer RNA (tRNA) molecules are approximately 80 nucleotides in length. Their secondary structure includes four short double-helical elements and three loops (D, anti-codon, and T loops). Further hydrogen bonds mediate the characteristic L-shaped molecular structure. tRNAs have two regions of fundamental functional importance: the anti-codon, which is responsible for specific mRNA codon recognition, and the 3' end, to which the tRNAs corresponding amino acid is attached (by aminoacyl-tRNA synthetases). tRNAs cope with the degeneracy of the genetic code in two manners: having more than one tRNA (with a specific anti-codon) for a particular amino acid; and 'wobble' base-pairing, i.e. permitting non-standard base-pairing at the 3rd anti-codon position.
Source: Rfam by way of RNAcentral